AAACCAACAGGGAUUGCCUUAGUAGCGGCGAGUGAAGCGGCAAAAGCUCAAAUUUGAAAUCUGGCACUUUCAGUGUCCGAGUUGUAAUUUGAAGAAGGUAUCUUUGGGUCUGGCUCUUGUCUAUGUUUCUUGGAACAGAACGUCACAGAGGGUGAGAAUCCCGUGCGAUGAGAUGACCCAGACCUAUGUAAAGUUCCUUCGAAGAGUCGAGUUGUUUGGGAAUGCAGCUCUAAGUGGGUGGUAAAUUCCAUCUAAAGCUAAAUAUUGGCGAGAGACCGAUAGCGAACAAGUACAGUGAUGGAAAGAUGAAAAGAACUUUGAAAAGAGAGUGAAAAAGUACGUGAAAUUGUUGAAAGGGAAGGGCUUGAGAUCAGACUUGGUAUUUUGUAUGUUACUCUUUCGGGGGUGGCCUCUACAGUUUACCGGGCCAGCAUCAGUUUGGGCGGUAGGAGAAUUGCAAAGAAAUGAGGCACUGCCUCGGUAGUGUGUUAUAGUCUUUGUCGAUACUGCCAGCCUAGACUGAGGACUGCGGCUUCGGCCUAGGAUGUUGGCAUAAUGAUCUUAAGUCGCCCGUCUUGAACCACGGACCA
This 590-nucleotide ribosomal RNA is filed under the name Lodderomyces metapsilosis. Its description in RNAcentral is "Candida metapsilosis partial large subunit ribosomal RNA". It matches the Rfam family "Eukaryotic large subunit ribosomal RNA", at positions 62 to 668 of the family's 3401-position model. The record is from RNAcentral. Lineage: Eukaryota; Fungi; Ascomycota; Pichiomycetes; Serinales; Debaryomycetaceae.